UUGAGCUCAGAUCAGGUAGGACUACCGCCUGAACUUAAGCAUAUCAAUAAGGCGAGGAACAGAAACCAACAGGGAUUCCUCUAGUAGUGGCGAAUGAAGCGGGAAAAGCUCAAGUUUGAAAUCUGGCGGGUGACCUCCAGAGUUGUAAGCUGAAGAGGCAUAGACCGACGCGGUCCGGGCUCAAUUUCCUUGGAACAGGAGGUCAUGGAGGGUGAGAACCCCGUCUGUGGCUUGGGUGCCGUCGUCCUUGUGUCUUGCCCUCGUAGAGUCGGGUUGUUUGGGAAUGCAGCUCAAAAUGGGUGGUAAAUUUCAUCUAAAGCUAAAUAUUGGCGAGAGACCGAUAGCAAACAAGUAGAGUGAUCGAAAGAUGAAAAGUACUUUGAAAAGAGAGUGAAACAGUACGUGAAAUUGUUGAAAGGGAAGCGUUUGGUAUCAGCCCAUGGCGUCCAUUGAUCAUUCAGGCUUCUGUCUGAUGCACUUGAUGGACGUCGGGUCAGCGUCGGCUUUGCCUGCCGGAGAAAGGUCUUGGGAAUGUGGCUCCCUUCGGGGAGCGUUAUAACCCUUGACGUCAUGCGGUGUGGUGGGGCCGAGGUCCGCG
Molecule: ribosomal RNA, 598 nt
Filed under: uncultured fungus
Lineage: Eukaryota; Fungi
Description: eukaryotic LSU rRNA
Rfam family: Eukaryotic large subunit ribosomal RNA
Source: RNAcentral